Molecule: ribosomal RNA, 61 nt
Filed under: Solanum medians
Lineage: Eukaryota; Viridiplantae; Streptophyta; Magnoliopsida; Solanales; Solanaceae
Source: RNAcentral
GGAUGCGAUCAUACCAGCACUAACGCACCGGAUCCCAUCAGAACUCCGAGGUUAAGCGUGC